UGAUAACUGCUGUUCAAAGAAGCUUCUCUUAGCGUUAACAAAAAUAUCUCUGAUCUAAUCCUAUGUCUCCAAAGAUGAAAACUCCAGUAUCACCUCUUGUACACUAGUUGAAACACCCUUUCCAGCAAACUGUUUAAUGAAGGUGAGAAAAAGAUUUCUUGCCGUCACUGUAUGAUAUCCCUCAAGAAUGAGACAGCUUGAUAAUAUUAGUAGCACAUUGAAAAACCUCAGUAACAUUUUGUUCUCUAUUAUAAUACACAUUGACUUUUAUACAAAUAUUUUUUGUUUUGUUGUAAUAGCACUUGAGAAAGAGAAACAUAUUUGACACGAAUACAGGCAGGGAUAAAAUGUAAAUAAUAUGUGUAUCGGUAGGAUGUAAUUAGCUAUAUUAGUUGUGAAAUUAUUAUUAGUGGUUUUUAUGCAAUUUGUAAUCAAAGUUGGUAUGUAUCUGUCCAUAACCUUACAGAGUGGAAUUAUGGACAUUUGUAGUAUGUUGUAAAUUAAUGCACUGUAAAUAUUGUAAUUUGAAGGACUAGUUUAGCAAGGAUACAGAAAUAAUAAAAUGUUGUGGCCAAUUUUAGCCGAUUUAUUGAUCUAUGGCCAAGUUAGCAAUCAUACAAAGUAAUCAGGUUACUCAAUCCCGCUAAACUUCCUUCCUCAAAGUAUGAAUACCCGAUUAGACUACCUUCUUCAGGGACUCACAUUUAGGACCAAGGUUAAUAGGGACAACUCGGGGGCAAUUCCAUUUGACUUUCUCCAGUGUAAUUUACAAAGCAACCAUUUAAUUGAGUAUGGGUGUAUCACAGAGCUUCAAGGCAAUGAAAAUAACAAUAAUGGCAGUUUAAAUAGCACAGGAGGUGUAAAAAUGUACUAAGGUUUGCCCAAGGAGUAUGUAUAUUUUUCUCUUCAAUUAAAAUUGGUAUUAUCCUUCCCUUUACAUGACUCUGUUGUUGAAAAUAAAACGUAUAAAAUAUGCUUUUUCUGGUAGGCAUUAUGAAUUUUAUUUUUAUGGAUAUAUUUAUUAAAUUGAGGAUUUAUUAGAUGAGAAUUCAUCAUUUCUGUGGUUGAUUCACAACUGUUUGUAGCUGAGCUUACCAAAGAUUUUUUUUUUUUGAAGUCUUAAAAUAUGUGAUCUGAAUUGUUGUAUUUCUAAGUUAAUAUAUUCCAAUAAAUUAUUCAACAUUUUUUUCAUACAA
Molecule: long non-coding RNA, 1196 nt
Organism: Spea bombifrons (plains spadefoot toad)
Lineage: Eukaryota; Metazoa; Chordata; Amphibia; Anura; Pelobatidae
Exons: 2
Source: RefSeq, a predicted model, not a curated record